CCGCGGCCUAUCAGCUUGUUGGUGAGGUAAUGGCUCACCAAGGCGACGACGGGUAGCCGGCCUGAGAGGGCGACCGGCCACACUGGGACUGAGACACGGCCCAGACUCCUACGGGAGGCAGCAGUGGGGAAUAUUGCACAAUGGGCGCAAGCCUGAUGCAGCGACGCCGCGUGAGGGAUGACGGCCUUCGGGUUGUAAACCUCUUUCAGCAGGGAAGAAGCGCAAGUGACGGUACCUGCAGAAGAAGCGCCGGCUAACUACGUGCCAGCAGCCGCGGUAAUACGUAGGGCGCAAGCGUUGUCCGGAAUUAUUGGGCGUAAAGAGCUCGUAGGCGGCUUGUCACGUCGGGUGUGAAAGCCCGGGGCUUAACCCCGGGUCUGCAUUCGAUACGGGCUAGCUAGAGUGUGGUAGGGGAGAUCGGAAUUCCUGGUGUAGCGGUGAAAUGCGCAGAUAUCAGGAGGAACACCGGUGGCGAAGGCGGAUCUCUGGGCCAUUACUGACGCUGAGGAGCGAAAGCGUGGGGAGCGAACAGGAUUAGAUACCCUGGUAGUCCACGCCGUAAACGGUGGGCACUAGGUGUUGGCGACAUUCCACGUCGUCGGUGCCGCAGCUAACGCAUUAAKUGCCCCGCCUGGGGAGUACGGCCGCAAGGCUAAAACUCAAAGGAAUUGACGGGGGCCC
This 681-nucleotide ribosomal RNA is filed under the name bacterium 1c100109. RNAcentral describes it as "bacterial SSU rRNA". It matches the Rfam family "Bacterial small subunit ribosomal RNA", at positions 231 to 922 of the family's 1533-position model. The record is from RNAcentral.